UAUACUCUUUCUUGGCUGUCUCUUGUUCCUCUCCUUUCGUUUGCCAAAUCUUAUCCGCUGGC
RNAcentral lists this small RNA (62 nucleotides) under Arabidopsis thaliana (thale cress). Its description in RNAcentral is "ATSL075340". The record is from RNAcentral. Lineage: Eukaryota; Viridiplantae; Streptophyta; Magnoliopsida; Brassicales; Brassicaceae.